Echinops telfairi (small Madagascar hedgehog) is the source of this 88-nucleotide small nucleolar RNA. The record is from Ensembl. Lineage: Eukaryota; Metazoa; Chordata; Mammalia; Afrosoricida; Tenrecidae.
ACUGGCACUAUGAUGAUUUCCAGUUACUUUUUGCCGUUUACCCAUCUGAGAGUUUCUUUGAAGAACAUCUUGAAACUGAGUUGCCAGU